Molecule: non-coding RNA, 1796 nt
Organism: Meloidogyne enterolobii
Lineage: Eukaryota; Metazoa; Nematoda; Chromadorea; Rhabditida; Meloidogynidae
Source: the annotation of a GenBank genome assembly
AAAGAUAUCUGGUUGAUCCUGCCUGAACUGAUGUGUUCAUUUCAAAGAUUAAGCCAUGCAUGUAUAAGUUUAAUCGUUUUAACGAGAAACCGCGAAAGGCUCAUUACAAUGGCCAUGAUUUACUUGAUCUUGAUUAUCUAAAUGGAUAACUGUGGAAAAGCUAGAGCUAAUACAUGCACCAAAGCUUUGUCCUCACGGAAAAGCGCAUUUAUUAGAACAAAACCACGCGGCUUCGGCUGCUUCUUGUUGACUCAGAAUAACUAAGCUGACCGCAUGGCCUUGUGCCGGCGGCGUGUCUUUCAAGCGUCCACUUUAUCAACUUGACGGGAGCAUAAUCGACUCCCGUGGUGGUGACGGAUAACGGAGGAUCAGGGUUCGACUCCGGAGAAGGGGCCUGAGAAAUGGCCACUACGUCUAAGGAUGGCAGCAGGCGCGCAAAUUACCCACUCUCGGCUCGAGGAGGUAGUGACGAAAAAUAACGAGACUGUUCUCUUUGAGGCCGGUCAUCGGAAUGGGUACAAUUUAAACCCUUUAACGAGUAUCAAGCAGAGGGCAAGUCUGGUGCCACUAGCCGCGGUAAUUCCAGCUCUGCUAAUACAUAGAAUUAUUGCUGCGGUUAAAAAGCUCGUAGUUGGAUUCGUAUCGGUACCUUGGAACCCUUCGGGUGUUUCUGGGUGUUAUCGAUUUAUCGUAAUGUUCGGUUUUGAGUCCUUAACAGGAUUCUUAACAGUCAUUGCAAGUUUACUUUGAACAAAUCAGAGUGCUUCAAACAGGCGUUUUCGCUUGAAUGAUCGUGCAUGGAAUAAUAGAAAACGAUUUCGGUUCAGUUUUAUUGGUUUUACGGACUGAGAUAAUGGUUAACAGAGACAAACGGGGGCAUUUGUAUGGCCCCGUGAGAGGUGAAAUUCUUGGACCGUGGCCAGACAAACUACAGCGAAAGCAUUUGCCAAGAAUGUCUUCAUUAAUCAAGAACGAAAGUCAGAGGUUCGAAGGCGAUCAGAUACCGCCCUAGUUCUGACCGUAAACGAUGCCAACUAGCGAUCCGCUGAUGGAAAUUAUAUUGCCUUGGUGGGGAGCUUCCCGGAAACGAAAGUCUUCCGGUUCCGGGGGAAGUAUGGUUGCAAAGCUGAAACUUAAAGGAAUUGACGGAAGGGCACCACCAGGAGUGGAGCCUGCGGCUUAAUUUGACUCAACACGGGGAAACUCACCCGGCCCGGACACUGUGAGGAUUGACAGAUUGAUAGCUUUUUCAUGAUUCAGUGGAUGGUGGUGCAUGGCCGUUCUUAGUUCGUGGAGUGAUUUGUCUGGUUUAUUCCGAUAACGAGCGAGACUCUAACCUACUAAAUAGCUGAUACAUACUCUUUGUGUAUACAGCUUCUUAGAGGGAUUUGCGGCGUUCAGCCGAAAGAAAUUGAGCAAUAACAGGUCUGUGAUGCCCUUAGAUGUCCGGGGCUGCACGCGCGCUACACUGGCAAAAUCAACGAACUUGUCCUACCCUGAAAGGGGCGGGUAAACCAUUGAAAAUUUGCCGUGAUUGGGAUCGGAAAUUGCAAUUAUUUUCCGUGAACGAGGAAUUCCAAGUAAGUGCGAGUCAUCAGCUCGCGUUGAUUACGUCCCUGCCCUUUGUACACACCGCCCGUCGCUGCCCGGGACUGAGCCAUUUCGAGAAAUUUGGGGACCGUUGAUUUAAUUUAUCUAAAUUAUUUUGAUGGAAACCAAUUUAAUCGCAGUGGCUUGAACCGGGCAAAAGUCGUAACAAGGUAGCUGUAGGUGAACCUGCUGCUGGAUCAUUACUU